ACCUACAUACAUGCAUGCAUUGUCCUUAACUGUGAAUAGAUGAUUGUGCAAUUCAAAGUGAAAUAAAGCCAAGAGUUGUCUCUUGUUUUUUUUUUGGGGGGGGGGGGGGGGGAUUUUCUGCACUUUGAUGAUUUCAAAUGUCGAGAAAACAGGCAGAGAAAUGUAGGAUUUUAUUUUUAAAAAGUAUCUUACACCUCGCACAUGCCUCCACUGUGUUUUCCAAAAAUAUGUCUCGGCAAACUGAAGCUGGAGCGUCCUCUGUCGGCUCGUAAUUUAUCUGUCAGUGUGGGGUGAGAUGAGCCUCAACACAAACUCAUCUGCAGAAUACUGUGCGUAAAACAGCGAUCCAAAAAAUUAGGUUUAUGGGCGCGCACUGCUUUCGGAAAAAUGUCCACGUGAAAAGAGCAAAAGGUGGAGUGAGAUGAUGUCACAAAUUAACAACACAGCUGUUUGUAGUCCGAGUUAAUUGACACUUUGAUUAAAUGCGACUGUUUUAUUUAAUUCAAUGAAUCCCAUCUGCUCUGCCUAAUGCGUGACAUUUUGUGGUGGCUCUUUGCGCUCCGUGCCGCGGGGCUGUUACGCACCCUGGUGAGGUGGAGACAUUUUGAGGAGGUUCAGGAGACAAACACCUUGCUCUCUUCGCUGCCUUCAACACAAGACACAAAGCACUCACUUCAUCCUGACCCCAUAGCGACUCUCUGCGGGGAAUAGGUCCGUCUGAAUAAAAAAAAAAAAGAAAGAAAAAGAAAAAGAAACCACUGUUCUCCAGGUUGCUCACAGCACGAUGUGAGGCCAAAUUAGCCGAGCGGACGGAUCCAGUAUGAUGAUGGCUCUGUUAAAUCCUGUGCCCUCAGGUGGCAUGAAAUGCAGCGACUCAGCCUUGAGAGGGUCCGAGUGACCUUAUGACACACAGAGGACGUGAAGACAUGUAAAGUUUGCUGCUCAGAACAGAUGUUCUCUCCUCUCCGGCCUCAGGGACGAACCGGCCGCUGUUCCCACACAGGCUCAAAGUGUCUGCAGAAAACCUCCUCAGAUGAAAGAUAACGCAGAGGAAGAAUCUUCAUACGGUCUGAUCUGGGGGAGGUUUUACCUGCUAAUGCCAAGAAAUACAGCAGCAAGGUGGAUGUCAGAUAAUCCCCCUCCAUCAGGAAUGUAAAUCACCGAAAUGAGUGGUGUGCAUAUUUUAAUAGGAAGCUGCCUGAGAAACAUGAUUAAAGCUUUUUGCUUUGGCACCAGUUUAGUGACUAAAUGGAAAAUCUUUGCUAAAAUCAGUUAUGCUGUCCUUAUUCAGCCUCUUGCUCAUAACCAUGUUGUGUUUUUGUCAUAAAAAGUAAAAGGAAAGACAUAAAAAGACAUAAAUGAGAUCGGUCAGGAUGUCAUUGUACACUUGUUGACUUGUGAUGAGUCUUCAAUAA
Long non-coding RNA from Acanthopagrus latus (yellowfin seabream), 1415 nucleotides. RefSeq lists it as uncharacterized. The transcript has 2 exons. NCBI's taxonomy places the organism in Eukaryota, Metazoa, Chordata, Actinopteri, Spariformes, Sparidae. The record is from RefSeq and is a predicted model, not a curated record.